This 300-nucleotide ribosomal RNA is filed under the name Triticum aestivum (bread wheat). Its description in RNAcentral is "partial small subunit ribosomal RNA". The record is from RNAcentral. Lineage: Eukaryota; Viridiplantae; Streptophyta; Magnoliopsida; Poales; Poaceae.
AUGUUCAAUAUUCGUCAGACCAGUUCAGUUGAGGAAUAUGUUGAACGUUUCUCUGAACUAUAUGAUCAGCUUACUACCUAUGAGACAAAUCCAAAUACAGUCCAUUAUGCAACCAGGUUUAUGGAAGGAUUGAUACCGUCAGUGCGUUUGCUGGUAGGAAUUCAACAACCCCCCUCUGCUUAUGCAUUAGCUCUGCUGUCAGAAGAACUUGGUGAGAAUGCAGUACAUCCGGGCAGUGCAUUUCAGGGGUCAAGCGUUCUGUUCCCUCCAGCUCCAGAUCAUCAGUUAGCAAAGCUCUAA